This 85-nucleotide ribosomal RNA is filed under the name Nelumbo nucifera (sacred lotus). The record is from RNAcentral. Lineage: Eukaryota; Viridiplantae; Streptophyta; Magnoliopsida; Proteales; Nelumbonaceae.
CCCAUCAGAACUCCGAAGUUAAGUGUGCUUGGGCGAGAGUAGUAUUAGGAUGGGUGACCUCCUGGGAAGUCCUUGUGUUUCACCC